AACGAACGCUGGCGGCAGGCCUAACACAUGCAAGUCGAGCGCCCCGCAAGGGGAGCGGCGGACGGGUGAGUAACGCGUGGGAACGUGCCCUCUUCUACGGAAUAGCCUCGGGAAACUGGGAGUAAUACCGUAUACGCCCUUAGGGGGAAAGAUUUAUCGGAGGAGGAUCGGCCCGCGUUGGAUUAGGUAGUUGGUGGGGUAAUGGCCUACCAAGCCGACGAUCCAUAGCUGGUUUGAGAGGAUGAUCAGCCACACUGGGACUGAGACACGGCCCAGACUCCUACGGGAGGCAGCAGUGGGGAAUCUUAGACAAUGGGCGCAAGCCUGAUCUAGCCAUGCCGCGUGAGCGAUGAAGGCCUUAGGGUUGUAAAGCUCUUUCAGGGGGGAAGAUAAUGACUGUACCCCCAGAAGAAGCCCCGGCUAACUCCGUG
RNAcentral lists this ribosomal RNA (431 nucleotides) under uncultured bacterium. RNAcentral's name for it is "bacterial SSU rRNA". It matches the Rfam family "Bacterial small subunit ribosomal RNA", at positions 29 to 507 of the family's 1533-position model. The record is from RNAcentral.